This 445-nucleotide ribosomal RNA is filed under the name uncultured bacterium. RNAcentral's name for it is "bacterial SSU rRNA". It matches the Rfam family "Bacterial small subunit ribosomal RNA", at positions 331 to 792 of the family's 1533-position model. The record is from RNAcentral.
CCAGACUCCUACGGGAGGCAGCAGUGGGGAAUAUUGCACAAUGGGGGAAACCCUGAUGCAGCGACGCCGCGUGAGUGAAGAAGUAUUUCGGUAUGUAAAGCUCUAUCAGCAGGGAAGAAGAAGGACGGUACCUGAGUAAGAAGCCCCGGCUAACUACGUGCCAGCAGCCGCGGUAAUACGUAGGGGGCAAGCGUUAUCCGGAUUUACUGGGUGUAAAGGGAGCGUAGACGGCGAAGAAAGUCUGAAGUGAAAGCCCGCGGCUCAACCGCGGAAUGGCUUUGGAAACUUUUUUGCUGGAGUACCGGAGAGGUAAGCGGAAUUCCUAGUGUAGCGGUGAAAUGCGUAGAUAUUAGGAGGAACACCAGUGGCGAAGGCGGCUUACUGGACGGUAACUGACGUUGAGGCUCGAAAGCGUGGGGAGCAAACAGGAUUAGAUACCCGAGUA